Molecule: long non-coding RNA, 206 nt
Filed under: Solanum tuberosum (potato)
Lineage: Eukaryota; Viridiplantae; Streptophyta; Magnoliopsida; Solanales; Solanaceae
Description: long non-coding RNA (STUB_LNC002736)
Source: RNAcentral
GUUGUUUGGUAGAUUGUAUUAAAAUAAUGUUAAAUAGUGUGUAUUAGCAAUGUUUGUAUUAAUUAUGCUUACAUUAGUUAUACAUAGAUUAUUUCUUAUGCAUUGUUUUGUUUGGUGUAUUAAAAAUAACAAACAUUGUACAAAAAAAAUUAUUUACAAGAAUAUUCUCCACAAUUAUGGUGACAAAUGUAAAAGGGAUUUUGAGG